Molecule: long non-coding RNA, 563 nt
Organism: Capsicum annuum
Lineage: Eukaryota; Viridiplantae; Streptophyta; Magnoliopsida; Solanales; Solanaceae
Exons: 2
Source: RefSeq, a predicted model, not a curated record
GCUGACUAGCUUGGUCGAAUUUGCUCCAUCACUUCAGCACCUCGCCGCCACCAUCUCGCUCAGCGACUAUCUUAGAAUGCUUAUCGCGCAGGCCGCAGGUACGUAUACUAGUUAAUAUUUUAAUAUUAAAAUACAUAAUAACACCAACAAUGAAGUACUUUUUCUAUUUACUCAUUUUUGUGAAUUUGUUAAAAAAGGUUUUCAGGUGGUCUCCAUUGGAGGUGAGCGUUUGUAAGUGGUGACAUCUUGCUUUGUUUGCAACAAUUUGAGUCGUUUUCAGUGUUACAUUGUCUAGAAGGUGAUUUUAUGCCUUUGAUUUUUGCAGUAGGAUGACAAGCCCGUAAUCUUAUAUCUAAGUAGUAAGGGUGACAAAAAUAAGCAUCACCAAAGUUGAUGUUCCCAUAGUGACGUUCUUCAUGAUUUUUGUUCCUGUUUUCUUUUAUGAUUUUGUUCCAAAUGUUGGUUGUGUGGAAAUAUUGAAAUGGUCUAUCUUGUUUAUAUAGUGUUCUCGAUCAGAGAAAAUGUCAUCUGCGCUCAAUGUAUGAAAAGUUUCUUAUAAUUAA